Molecule: ribosomal RNA, 429 nt
Filed under: Gemmatimonadota bacterium
Lineage: Bacteria; Pseudomonadati; Gemmatimonadota
Description: Gemmatimonadetes bacterium partial 16S ribosomal RNA
Rfam family: Bacterial small subunit ribosomal RNA
Source: RNAcentral
UAGGGAAUCUUCGGCAAUGGACGAAAGUCUGACCGAGCAACGCCGCGUGAGUGAAGAAGGUUUUCGGAUCGUAAAACUCUGUUGUUAGAGAAGAACAAGGACGUUAGUAACUGAACGUCCCCUGACGGUAUCUAACCAGAAAGCCACGGCUAACUACGUGCCAGCAGCCGCGGUAAUACGUAGGUGGCAAGCGUUGUCCGGAUUUAUUGGGCGUAAAGCGAGCGCAGGCGGUUUCUUAAGUCUGAUGUGAAAGCCCCCGGCUCAACCGGGGAGGGUCAUUGGAAACUGGGAGACUUGAGUGCAGAAGAGGAGAGUGGAAUUCCAUGUGUAGCGGUGAAAUGCGUAGAUAUAUGGAGGAACACCAGUGGCGAAGGCGGCUCUCUGGUCUGUAACUGACGCUGAGGAUCGAAAGCGUGGGGAGCAAAAAGG